GGGACAGGGGCAAUUCUGUCUUUUUUUGUCUAUAAAUUAGUUUGUGUUUAUAUACUGCUAUGGCUAGUGAAACUUCUGUAUAGCUUCCUGAGUCUGUAUGGAAGGAGACUUACAGCAAACUACAAUGUCAAAGGGAGAUGGAUAGGUAGUUUCUUGCAACAUUUAUCUAAAUUUCUUUUGGCCUCAACCUUAGAAAGACACAUCAGCUUUUGGAAUUAGAGGAUGAGGAUGAUGCAUCAAUUUAGUAACGCAAAUUGAUGAUUGUACACGAGAAAAAAAAAAGUUUUUUCGGUGCUCGUAUGUGGAAAUGACCAGUGUAACAAAUGCAAUGCAGCCAAAGUAAUUAUUUAGCUCAUUUAAUGAGAUGCCAUUGCUGUUCUUACAAUUGCCGGAGGAGUGGUAAAAUGUGAAAGUUUAUAAGGGAAAAAAAAGCUGCACUAUUCCAUAUAAAUUCAUAUUUGAGGUUUGAAUUCUAAUUGUCUGAGUGGGUAGACGGAUUUAUGGGGGAGUAUGAGGAAAGAUUGUUUUGUUGUGAUGCACUUCAUAUGAGGGUAAUUUGCUUGGAUUAGGUGAUAGAACUAAGCUGGAAUUGUAAAGAGGAAAUGGGUUCAGAAGGUCGAGAGAUAAUAAUUGUUGAUUCUACUUGUAUCAGAUAUAGUUAUUGAAGACAAACAUAUGAAAUAAAAAAGAAAGCAUUAGGGAAAGAAGGUUAAAGUGGUUAGAAGAAGGUUCAAGUAAAGUUCGUGGUUUUGUGUCAGAUUUUCUCUAUGUUUGUGAUCUAUAAACUAUUUUAAAUUUUCUACUUUAGUAUUGUACUUUCAAUUCUAUCUUAUUCAAAACUUAUAUUUUGAAGAUUCCUCCUAAUUAUAGUUUUGAACAUUUGCUUUGUA
This is a non-coding RNA of Lactuca sativa (garden lettuce), 890 nucleotides long. NCBI's taxonomy places the organism in Eukaryota, Viridiplantae, Streptophyta, Magnoliopsida, Asterales, Asteraceae. The record is from RefSeq and is a predicted model, not a curated record.